This 2267-nucleotide long non-coding RNA is filed under the name Marmota monax (woodchuck). Lineage: Eukaryota; Metazoa; Chordata; Mammalia; Rodentia; Sciuridae. The record is from RNAcentral.
UGGAGACCUGCCGGAUGUAGGUGCUGACGUUCCCCCUCUAGCUUGCAGGGUAGACUCAAGCCCCGCUGGACAGAGGUGAAGAAUUGUGGACAUGGGGCACUUGGCAGGGCUCUGGGUGGGAGAGGUGUGGCUUGGGCCACCUGAUGGCUGACGGUGGACAUUCAGUGCGAGGAUCGUCCCGUGCCCCCCAGGCUCCAGUGCCCACCACCAGCUGAGCCGCACCGGCCCCUGGUGGGCUGGCGACAUGGCACAGGCUGCUCCCACGGUGGCACCAAGAAUGGAGCAGGGGCUGACAAGCCAGCAGAGCAGCAGCACGCAGACUGACUGACCACAGGAAAAGGCCGGAUGUGAAGCACAGCUCCCCAGCUCUGCCUGCACAGUGUGGGCCAAGAGCCUGUGACGGCAUGAACUUCCACCCGCUCCGUUGCUGCCGUCGUCACCUCCCGUUCCCCAAGCCCACGGUCGUCAGAAGCUGGGUGCCGUGUCUUCACUGGCACUGAGCUCUGCCCAGGUCUUUGCCACAGGUGUGUCACAUCAGCGACUCUUGGCUGCCGUGAGCGAGGUGGCCCCAGCAACAGAACUGAGCCGUGUCCAGCUCUGGGGGCAGGAGGCUCAAGGGUAACCUCCCAUCCUGUGGCCAAGAGUAGUCAGCAGACGCUCCCUAAGGGACAUCAUUGUGUGUGCCCAAGCCCAGCAGCACACGUGGCUGACAAGCUGCUGGCAGCUGAGAAGUUCCACAUGGGGCUGGACAGUGGGGUCACCAGUAUCACAGGGUCACAGGCUGCUGGCAGGAAGGGCUGAUGGUGGUCCUUGGGAUCCAGGCGUGGUGAACAAAUGGCCCCCAAUGUCCAUACCCAAAUUCCUGGAUUUCACGAGUGUUGUGUUGUGUGAGGGAUGACCUUGGUAUAAUCAAGAUGGGGCACCUUAAAAUAGGCAGUUAUCCUGGACUACCUAGAGGGCCCCGUCCGACCACAUGAGCCUUUGAGGGCAGAGAAGUUUCCUGGCUGGAAGCGACAGAAGUGAGGCAGGGGGUCAGCAAGAGCUGAGGCCAAGAGCCCAGCCCACUCUGCUGGCUUUAAAGGUGGAGGGGCCAGAACACGUGGUGUCCCUCAUGCUGAGAAGGAGCCCCAGCUGAUGGACAGGGAGCACACAGAGCCUCUCCCACCACCACAGCCUGAGUGAGCAUCCUGCCGAGAACCAGCCAACUGGCUCCGUAUUUCAAACCAGAGCAGGAAACCCAUGAGGCCAGUCCAAGAGCUGACUGCAGACGGGGACAGUACAUUUGUGCUGUCUCUGUUGCUAGACGGAUGCUAACUUGCUACAGCAGCAACAGUGAGCACUAGGUGUCCACUGCCUUUAGUACCAGAGGUGAGGUCGGCUUUAACGUCCCUCCCGGCACCCUCACUGACACUUCUGCAGGGCCUGGGGUCAGGCGGGCAGCACGUGCCUCGUGGUCUGCUCCAGGACUGAGCUCCUGUUUCUACUUGGUGUCUUGUGGAGUGCUGGCUAUUGGACUGGUGGCACUGGCCCUCUGCUUUUGCCCAGCAAGGAACAUGCUAGGAAGGCCUGCCACAGGACAAGCCACCUGUGGUGGGCCCAUGUCACCUCUCUGUAGACCAGUGGGCAGCCUGCCCCUGCCCAGCGGGCCUAGCCAGGACCAGCCCUGCCUGAUGCUCCAGAGCUGGAGCAGCAAGCACCCCUGCGUGUCACCAAGGUCUGGACAUCACUUGUCUCGUGUCACCAUGGUGGCACCAGGUCAGGCACAGUGGCCUGAAGGGAUUUGGGUCCGGCCGUCAGUGGCUUUACUCUUCUGGCUUUCUCCCGCCCCAGCCGACGUUCCAACCUCAGUUAGCAGGCUCCUCUCUCCUCCUCCCACUCACUCAGUCAGCUUUGACUUCCUAAUAUUAGGGGCUUCUCCUGUCCUGAAUCAGAGGCAGCUCUUCAGGUGCAAGUCCUCUGGGGAAUCAGGCCAGGACUCCUCCAUUGAGGGUGAACAUAGCAGAAGUCCACUGCUGUGGGCACCCUGAGUGGCCUCCUGCCCUCAGGAGCUUGGGUGCCGUGGAGUGGUCAGGGCGCCAGAAGGAGCUUCAGAACCAGGAGAAGAGACGGCUGUGGUCCUGGUCUCUCAGACACAGGCCUCCCCCACCUGUGCCCCUGACCACCAGUCCCAGACAGCCUCGCAGGACUCCAAAACACGUGCCACACACCCUCCAAGACGGCCGAGCCUGGCGAGGCUUUCCUCUGGCACCUGCAUCUUCACGUUGUCA